Molecule: unclassified non-coding RNA, 318 nt
Filed under: plant metagenome
Description: partial contains 5.8S ribosomal RNA, internal transcribed spacer 2, and large subunit ribosomal RNA
Rfam family: 5.8S ribosomal RNA (bases 1-105)
Source: RNAcentral
GGAAUGCGAUAAGUAAUGUGAAUUGCAGAAUUCAGUGAAUCAUCGAAUCUUUGAACGCACAUUGCGCCCGCCAGAAUUCUGGCGGGCAUGCCUGUUCGAGCGUCAUUUCAACCCUCGAGCUCCCCUUGCGGGGGGAGCCCGGCGUUGGGGACGCGGCGCCAACAGCGCCGGCCCCGAAAUGGAGUGGCGGCCCGUCCGCGGCGACCUCUGCGUAGUAACAUCCACUCGCACCGGGACCCGGGCGCGGCCACGCCGUAAAACACCCCACCUUCCGAAUGUUGACCUCGAAUCAGGUAGGAAUACCCGCUGAACUUAAGC